GGCUCGUUGGUCUAGGGGUAUGAUUCUCGCUUACGUUGCGAGAGGUCCCGGGUUUAAUUCCCGGACGAGCCC
Molecule: transfer RNA, 72 nt
Filed under: Danionella cerebrum
Lineage: Eukaryota; Metazoa; Chordata; Actinopteri; Cypriniformes; Danionidae
Description: tRNA-Arg
Source: RNAcentral